GAUGAACGCUGGCGGCGUGCCUAAUACAUGCAAGUCGAGCGAACGGACGAGAAGCUUGCUCUUCUGAUGUUAGCGGCGGACGGGUGAGUAACACGUGGAUAACCUACCUAUAAGACUGGGAUAACUUCGGGAAACCGGAGCUACUACCGGAUAAUAUUUUGAACCGCAUGGUUCAUAAGUUAAAGACGGUCUUGCUGACACUUAUAGAUGGAUCCGCGCUGCAUUAGCUAGUUGGUAAGGUAACGGCUUACCAAGGCAACGAUGCAUAGCCGACCUGAGGGGGUGAUCGACAAACCGGGAACGAGGACACGUACCAGACCCGUACGGGAGGCAGCGGUAGGAAAUCUUCCGCAAGGGGCGAAGGCCUAACGGGGCAACGCGGCGUGAGUGAUAAAGGUCUUCGGAUCGUAAAACUUUGUGAUUAGAGAGGAACAUAGGUGUAAGAAACUGUGCACAUCUGAACGGACCCUAAUAAUAAGGCCCGGCUAAAUUCGUG
RNAcentral lists this ribosomal RNA (496 nucleotides) under uncultured bacterium. Its description in RNAcentral is "partial 16S ribosomal RNA". It matches the Rfam family "Bacterial small subunit ribosomal RNA", at positions 28 to 507 of the family's 1533-position model. The record is from RNAcentral.